AUUGAACGCUGGCGGCAGGCCUAACACAUGCAAGUCGAGCGGUAGCACGGAGAGCUUGCUCUCGGGUGACGAGCGGCGGACGGGUGAGUAAUGUCUGGGAAACUGCCUGAUGGAGGGGGAUAACUACUGGAAACGGUAGCUAAUACCGCAUAACGUCGCAAGACCAAACUGGGGGGCCUUAGGGCCUCAUGCCAUCAGAUGUGCCCAGAUGGGAUUAGCUGGUAGGUGGGGUAACGGCUCACCUAGGCGACGAUCCCUAGCUGGUCUGAGAGGAUGACCAGCCACACUGGAACUGAGACACGGUCCAGACUCCUACGGGAGGCAGCAGUGGGGAAUAUUGCACAAUGGGCGCAAGCCUGAUGCAGCCAUGCCGCGUGUGUGAAGAAGGCCUUCGGGUUGUAAAGCACUUUCAGCGGGGAGGAAGGCGGUGAGGUUAAUAACCUCACCGAUUGACGUUACCCGCAGAAGAAGCACCGGCUAACUCCGUGCCAGCCGCCGCCGUAA
Molecule: ribosomal RNA, 504 nt
Filed under: uncultured bacterium
Lineage: Bacteria
Description: partial 16S ribosomal RNA
Rfam family: Bacterial small subunit ribosomal RNA
Source: RNAcentral